Molecule: small nuclear RNA, 107 nt
Filed under: Monodon monoceros (narwhal)
Lineage: Eukaryota; Metazoa; Chordata; Mammalia; Artiodactyla; Monodontidae
Source: RNAcentral
GUGCUCGCUUCGGCAGCACAUAUACUAAAAUCGGAAUGGUACAGACAAGAUUGGCAUGGCCCCUGCUCAAGGAUGACAUGCAAAUUCGUGAAGGGUUCCAUGUUUUU